Phoenix dactylifera (date palm) is the source of this 1337-nucleotide non-coding RNA. The record is from RefSeq and is a predicted model, not a curated record. NCBI's taxonomy places the organism in Eukaryota, Viridiplantae, Streptophyta, Magnoliopsida, Arecales, Arecaceae.
CUCCAAGGCACAGUCCGUGACUUAUCGAUUGCCCGAGUUCCCGACUUCCCGUCUCCUACUCUUCUCCUUAGGGUUAGGAUUUAGGGUUUGUGCUGCGCCGCCCGAGCUCCAUUUGGCUAUUCCCUCCCUCAGGUCAGGCCUUAGUCUCUCUCGAGCCUCUCCCCUCUCCUUCGGACCUUCGCCUCCACCCUCUCCUCCUCCGUGCCGACAACUUUGGCCUCCCCGUCGACGGCGAUCGUGGCGGCUUGAGGACCACACUCCACCAUCCGCGACCUCUCCUUAGUUAGGGACUUAGGGUUAGAGUUUGUGUGCCGCCCGAGCUCUAUUCCCUCCCUCAGUCUUUCUCGAGUCUCUCCCCUUUGCUCUCCUUCGGAUUCUUCGCCUCCCGAGCCCUCUCCUCCGGACCUCUGCCUCCGCCCUCUCCUCCCCUGUGCCGACAACUUCGGCCUCCCCAUCGACGGCGACCGUGGCGGCUCGGAUCCUCUGCUCUACCGAGUUGGUGCAGGCAGCUGGUACUUGAUCUGUUCGAUCACAUAACUUUUGUCCCCUUAUAUUGAGGCUCUUUUCUACGAUACGCUGCUGCUUUCUGGGUUAUAGAAAUAUCGUGUUUUAGCAGCCACAUUUUUGUCAGUGUUUAUAUUCUUGUGAUUGAAAACUGACUACCUGUUCUCUUCACCAUUUCUACAGUAAGUUACAGAGUGAUGUUUUGAGGGAAGCAAUCUCUCAGAUUGCAAAUGAUUCUCGAGAGAAGAAGCGCAAUUUUACUGAAACCAUUGAGCUACAAAUUGGUCUGAAAAACUAUGACCCCCAAAAAGAUAAGCAUUUCAGCAGAUCUUAUGUUUACCUAAUAUAAUUUUUAAUGGCAAACAUCAUACAAAUAACUUGUCCAAUGCAUUUGAAUUCAGGGCCUGGUUGUUCUUCUAUUGUCUAUGGAGAGGCAGAGGAACUUGGACCUUUCUUAAUACAAAAAGGCAUGCCAGAGCUCAAAUUCAACAAGCAUUCUUGGAACCGGAGGAAUUGCGACUCAUCACUCGCCUAUAGGCCCUAUACUGACAGAGAAAAUAGGGCUUGACUAUAUGGAUGUUGAAGCACUAAAAAAAUGAAUAAAAACAAGAAGCUGGUCAAAAAGCUUGCUAAGAAGUACCAUGCUUUCCUAGCAUCAGAGGCCAUCAUGUAUAUUGAUAUUUGUUCUAUGUGAAGCAGAUUUUCUUUUCGGGCUAUUCCAUAUGUAAAUUUGGAUGAUUUGACUUGUAUUCCUUAUCUUUGUAAAGAUUAAAUAUUUUUUGAAUAUUGUUGGUAUUAGAUGAAUGAAUAAAUACUUGUAUUCCUUAUGUUUA